RNAcentral lists this ribosomal RNA (497 nucleotides) under uncultured bacterium. RNAcentral describes it as "partial 16S ribosomal RNA". It matches the Rfam family "Bacterial small subunit ribosomal RNA", at positions 28 to 507 of the family's 1533-position model. The record is from RNAcentral.
GAUGAACGCUGGCGGCGUGCCUAAUACAUGCAAGUCGAGCGAACGGACGAGAAGCUUGCUUCUCUGAUGUUAGCGGCGGACGGGUGAGUAACACGUGGAUAACCUACCUAUAAGACUGGGAUAACUUCGGGAAACCGGAGCUAAUACCGGAUAAUAUUUUGAACCGCAUGGUUCAAAAGUGAAAGACGGUCUUGCUGUCACUUAUAGAUGGAUCCGCGCUGCAUUAGCUAGUUGGUAAGGUAACGGCUUACCAAGGCAACGAUGCAUAGCCGACCUGAGAGGGUGAUCGGCCACAUGGGAACUGAGACACGGUCCAGACUCCUACGGUAGGCAGCAGUAGGGAAUCUUACGCAAGGGGCGAAAGCCUGACGGAGCAACGCCGCGUGAGUGAUGAAGGUCUUCGGAUCGUAAAACGCUGUUAUUAGGGAAGAACAUAUGUGUAAGUAACUGUGCACAUAUUGACGGUACCUAAUCAGAAAGCCACGGCUAACUACGUG